UUACGUUGCAUAUCAAUAAGCGGAGGAAAAGAAACCAACAGGGAUUGCCUCAGUAGCGGCGAGUGAAGCGGCAAGAGCUCAGAUUUGAAAUCGUGCUUUGCGGCACGAGUUGUAGAUUGCAGGUUGGAGUCUGUGUGGAAGGCGGUGUCCAAGUCCCUUGGAACAGGGCGCCCAGGAGGGUGAGAGCCCCGUGGGAUGCCGGCGGAAGCAGUGAGGCCCUUCUGACGAGUCGAGUUGUUUGGGAAUGCAGCUCCAAGCGGGUGGUAAAUUCCAUCUAAGGCUAAAUACUGGCGAGAGACCGAUAGCGAACAAGUACUGUGAAGGAAAGAUGAAAAGCACUUUGAAAAGAGAGUGAAACAGCACGUGAAAUUGUUGAAAGGGAAGGGUAUUGCGCCCGACAUGGGGAUUGCGCACCGCUGCCUCUCGUGGGCGGCGCUCUGGGCUUUCCCUGGGCCAGCAUCGGUUCUUGCUGCAGGAGAAGGGGUUCUGGAACGUGGCUCUUCGGAGUGUUAUAGCCAGGGCCAGAUGCUGCGUGCGGGGACCGAGGUACUGCGCCCGUGUACGUCACGGGCAGUCGGUUGCCA
Molecule: ribosomal RNA, 584 nt
Filed under: Pichia kudriavzevii
Lineage: Eukaryota; Fungi; Ascomycota; Pichiomycetes; Pichiales; Pichiaceae
Description: partial large subunit ribosomal RNA
Rfam family: Eukaryotic large subunit ribosomal RNA
Source: RNAcentral